Molecule: unclassified non-coding RNA, 286 nt
Filed under: uncultured fungus
Lineage: Eukaryota; Fungi
Description: partial contains small subunit ribosomal RNA, internal transcribed spacer 1, and 5.8S ribosomal RNA
Rfam family: Eukaryotic small subunit ribosomal RNA (bases 1-73)
Source: RNAcentral
ACAAACUUGGUCAUUUAGAGGAAGUAAAAGUCGUAACAAGGUUUCCGUAGGUGAACCUGCGGAAGGAUCAUUAUCGAGUGUAGCCCCCCGAUAAAAAGGGGGGCACCUCCCGUCCUUUGCUGGGUCCCCCUUUUGUGGGGGCUUUCGACUUCUGCUUCGGCGGGGUUACCCGCCGGAACACCCUCAAAAAUCUUUUGUUAAACUGUUCAGUCCGAGGCCUUUUUUAAAUUUACGAAAAACUUUCAACAACGGAUCUCUUGGUUCUGGCAUCGAUGAAGAACGCAGC